GACGAACGCUGGCGGCGUGCUUAACACAUGCAAGUCGAACGAAGUGGCGAACGGGUGAGUAACGCGUAAUCAACCUGCCCUUCAGAGGGGGACAACAGUUGGAAACGACUGCUAAUACCGCAUACUGAAGGAGGGGUUUGCGUCUGAUUGGCUAGUUGGAUGGGUAACGGCCCACCAAGGCGAUGAUCAGGAGCCGGGCUGAGAGGUGGAACGGCCACAUUGGGACUGGGACACGGCCCAGACUCCUACGGGAGGCCGCAGUGGGGAAUCUUCCGCAAUGGACGAAAGUCUGACGGAGCAAAGCCGCGGGAGAGAUGGCGGCCUUCGGGUUGUAAAGCUCUGUUAAUCGGGACGCGGUACCGGAAUAGAAAGCCACGGCUAACUACGUGCCAGCAGCCGCGGUAAUUC
This 408-nucleotide ribosomal RNA is filed under the name uncultured bacterium. RNAcentral describes it as "partial 16S ribosomal RNA". It matches the Rfam family "Bacterial small subunit ribosomal RNA", at positions 28 to 526 of the family's 1533-position model. The record is from RNAcentral.